Molecule: small RNA, 89 nt
Filed under: Sinorhizobium meliloti 2011
Lineage: Bacteria; Pseudomonadati; Pseudomonadota; Alphaproteobacteria; Hyphomicrobiales; Rhizobiaceae
Description: putative ncRNA
Source: RNAcentral
GUUUCAAUUCGCCGAUUUCUUUCUCCAGUUUCACGACAGCGUGAAACUGGAUUCCUUGAAUCAUGCUUUCGCCGCACUUAUCUAUUAGC